UAGGGAAUAUUGGGCAAUGGAGGAAACUCUGACCCAGCAACGCCGCGUGAAUGAAGAAGGUUUUAGGAUUGUAAAGUUCUUUUAUUAUAGACGAAUAAAAUGACGGUAUAUAAUGAAUAAGCCACGGCAAACUACGUGCCAGCAGCCGCGGUAAUACGUAGGUGGCAAGCGUUGUCCGGAAUGACUGGGUGUAAAGGGUGUGUAGGUGGUCUUUUAAGUGUAAUGUGAAAUCCCUGGGCUUAACCCAGGAACUGCAUUGCAUACUGGAGGACUUGAGUGAUGGAGGGGCAAGUGGAAUUCCAAGUGUAGCGGUAGAAUGCGUAGAUAUUUGGAGGAACAACGGAGGCGAAGGCGGCUUGCUGGACAUUAACUGACACUGAAACACGAAAGCGUGGGGAUCAAACA
Molecule: ribosomal RNA, 405 nt
Filed under: uncultured bacterium
Lineage: Bacteria
Description: partial 16S ribosomal RNA
Rfam family: Bacterial small subunit ribosomal RNA
Source: RNAcentral